AACGCACAUUGCGCCCCUUGGUAUUCCAUGGGGCAUGCCUGUUCGAGCGUCAUCUACACCCUCAAGCUCUGCUUGGUGUUGGGCGUCUGUCCCGCCUCUGCGCGCGGACUCGCCCCAAAGGCAUUGGCAGCGGUCCACGGCCCCUCUCGCGCAGCACAUUGCGCUUCUCGAGGCGGCCCGGCCCGCAUCCACGAAGCCCACAUUACCGUCUUUGACCUCGGAUCAGGUAGGGAUACCCGCUGAACUUAA
This 249-nucleotide unclassified non-coding RNA is filed under the name uncultured Montagnulaceae. RNAcentral's name for it is "sequence contains ITS2". The record is from RNAcentral. Lineage: Eukaryota; Fungi; Ascomycota; Dothideomycetes; Pleosporales; Didymosphaeriaceae.